CCUACGGGAGGCAGCAGUGGGGAAUUUUGGACAAUGGGCGAAAGCCUGAUCCAGCAAUGCCGCGUGAGUGAAGAAGGCCUUCGGGUUGUAAAGCUCUUUUGUCAGGGAAGAAACGGUGAGAGCUAAUAUCUCUUGCUAAUGACGGUACCUGAAGAAUAAGCACCGGCUAACUACGUGCCAGCAGCCGCGGUAAUACGUAGGGUGCAAGCGUUAAUCGGAAUUACUGGGCGUAAAGCGUGCGCAGGCGGUUUUGUAAGUCUGAUGUGAAAUCCCCGGGCUCAACCUGGGAAUUGCAUUGGAGACUGCAAGGCUAGAAUCUGGCAGAGGGGGGUAGAAUUCCACGUGUAGCAGUGAAAUGCGUAGAUAUGUGGAGGAACACCGAUGGCGAAGGCAGCCCCCUGGGUCAAGAUUGACGCUCAUGCACGAAAGCGUGGGGAGCAAACAGGAUUAGAUACCCUGGUAGUCCACGCCCUAAACGAUGUCUACUAGUUGUCGGGUCUUAAUUGACUUGGUAACGCAGCUAACGCGUGAAGUAGACCGCCUGGGGGUAGGUUACGGUUCGUCGAGAAGUUAAACGUUAACGAAGGAAGUAGACGGCGNGAGACGNGCGACGGACGACGACGAGGGAGGAGG
Molecule: ribosomal RNA, 633 nt
Filed under: uncultured bacterium
Lineage: Bacteria
Description: bacterial SSU rRNA
Rfam family: Bacterial small subunit ribosomal RNA (bases 1-542)
Source: RNAcentral